This 371-nucleotide RNase P RNA is filed under the name Alkalispirochaeta alkalica. RNAcentral describes it as "bacterial RNase P". It matches the Rfam family "Bacterial RNase P class A". Rfam says of the family: Ribonuclease P (RNase P) is a ubiquitous endoribonuclease, found in archaea, bacteria and eukarya as well as chloroplasts and mitochondria. Its best characterised activity is the generation of mature 5'-ends of tRNAs by cleaving the 5'-leader elements of precursor-tRNAs. Cellular RNase Ps are ribonucleoproteins. Lineage: Bacteria; Pseudomonadati; Spirochaetota; Spirochaetia; Spirochaetales; Spirochaetaceae. The record is from RNAcentral.
UGGAGAGGCCAGGUCAUCGCCCGGCGGCUGUGUUCGCCGGGAGGAAAGUCCGGACUCCGGAGAGCACGGCACCGGUUAAUUGCCGGCGGUCGCCCGGGAUUUCCCGGGUGACAAGAGAGAGUGCCACAGAAACAAGACCGCCCCGGUUUGGCCGCAGUGUCUACCGGGGUAAGGGUGAAACGGUGGGGUAAGAGCCCACCGGCCUUCCGGUAACGGGGGGCGUCAUGGUAAACCUUGCCGGGAGCAAAACCAAGCAGCGGGUGGGUUGCUCGCCCAGAGCCCGCGGGUAGGUUGCUGGAGCAAACUGGAGACAGUUUGCCGAGACAGAUGGUGACCCACGACAGAAUCCGGCUUACCGGCCUCUCUGCACG